GCCGGAGUGGCGGAAUCGGUAGACGCGUGCGACUCAAAAUCGCAUCUCGCAAGGGGUGAGGGUUCAAGUCCCUCCUCCGGCA
RNAcentral lists this transfer RNA (82 nucleotides) under Candidatus Kaiserbacteria bacterium. Its description in RNAcentral is "tRNA-Leu". It matches the Rfam family "tRNA". From Rfam's summary of the family: Transfer RNA (tRNA) molecules are approximately 80 nucleotides in length. The record is from RNAcentral. Lineage: Bacteria; Candidatus Kaiseribacteriota.